AUUGAACGCUGGCGGCAUGCUUUACACAUGCAAGUCGAACGGCAGCGCGGGCUUCGGCCUGGCGGCGAGUGGCGAACGGGUGAGUAAUACAUCGGAACGUGCCCAGUAGUGGGGGAUAGCUCGGCGAAAGCCGGAUUCAUACCGCAUACGACCUGAGGGUGAAAGCGGGGGAUCUUCGGACCUCGCGCUAUUGGAGCGGCCGAUGGCAGAUUAGCUAGUUGGUGGGGUAAAGGCCUACCAAGGCGACGAUCUGUAGCUGGUCUGAGAGGACGACCAGCCACACUGGGACUGAGACACGGCCCAGACUCCUACGGGAGGCAGCAGUGGGGAAUUUUGGACAAUGGGCGAAAGCCUGAUCCAGCAAUGCCGCGUGUGUGAUGAAGGCCUUCGGGUUGUAAAGCACUUUUGGCGGGAACGAAAAGGACUGUGCCAAUACCACGGUUCGAUGACGGUACCCGCAGAAUAAGCACCGGCUAACUACGUG
RNAcentral lists this ribosomal RNA (484 nucleotides) under uncultured bacterium. RNAcentral describes it as "partial 16S ribosomal RNA". It matches the Rfam family "Bacterial small subunit ribosomal RNA", at positions 29 to 507 of the family's 1533-position model. The record is from RNAcentral.